CCUACGGGGGGCUGCAGUGAGGAAUAUUGGUCAAUGGACGCAAGUCUGAACCAGCCAUUUCGCGUGCAGGAAGACUGCCCUAUGGGUUGUAAACUGCUUUUUUAUGGGAAGAAAGUUAGAUAUUGAUAUCUAUUUGCCUGUACCAUAAGAAUAAGGAUCGGCUAACUCCGUGCCAGCAGCCGCGGUAAUACGGAGGAUCCGAGCGUUAUCCGGAUUUAUUGGGUUUAAAGGGUGCGUAGGCGGACUGAUAAGUCGGCGGUGAAAUUCUUAAGCUUAACUUAAGGCUUGCCGUUGAUACUGUUUGUCUUGAGUUUAGUUGAGGUAGGCGGAAUGUGGUGUGUAGCGGUGAAAUGCUUAGAUAUACCACAGAACACCGAUUGCGUAGGCAGCUUACUAAACUAUCACUGACGCUGAUGCACGAAAGCGUGGGGAUCAAACAGGAUUAGAUACCCUGGUAGUC
Molecule: ribosomal RNA, 460 nt
Filed under: uncultured Alkaliflexus sp.
Lineage: Bacteria; Pseudomonadati; Bacteroidota; Bacteroidia; Marinilabiliales; Marinilabiliaceae
Description: bacterial SSU rRNA
Rfam family: Bacterial small subunit ribosomal RNA
Source: RNAcentral